ACACAUACAUACACAUACACACCAAAAGGCCCGCAGCAGCGGGCCUUUUGGCGUUUGGGGC
Molecule: small RNA, 61 nt
Filed under: Sinorhizobium meliloti 2011
Lineage: Bacteria; Pseudomonadati; Pseudomonadota; Alphaproteobacteria; Hyphomicrobiales; Rhizobiaceae
Description: putative ncRNA
Source: RNAcentral